CAUAAACAAGGAAAUCAUGUGCCAAAUCAGCCUUGGAGAGAGAUUUCGCCGCUGUCUAAUGUCGUGAGGGCCUUCGUUGGAUCACGCGACUACUUGGCAUCACUUCCGUGUCAGAGAGAGUGUGAGAGAACACACAGUAUCUCAAAAGUAUGGUUGCUUUUCAGGUCAUACCUUAAUCUGUCUCUUGGAGACCCUCUCAGCAAAUACGGAAUAUAGAUGGUAGAUACUACUUUUCGUAUGUUUUCCUUAUACCAUCCGAAAGUAAUGGUGGCCCUGAAACUGACAUGCGAGCUGACAAAAGUAGCACCAAUUGAAGUUUAGCAGCCAUAAGCAAAGAUUUUUUAUAUGAAUAUUCACAAUAAACGAAACUAACAGGA
This is a long non-coding RNA of Drosophila miranda, 377 nucleotides long. RefSeq lists it as uncharacterized. The record is from RefSeq and is a predicted model, not a curated record. The transcript is spliced from 2 exons. NCBI's taxonomy places the organism in Eukaryota, Metazoa, Arthropoda, Insecta, Diptera, Drosophilidae.